RNAcentral lists this ribosomal RNA (456 nucleotides) under uncultured bacterium. RNAcentral's name for it is "bacterial SSU rRNA". It matches the Rfam family "Bacterial small subunit ribosomal RNA", at positions 29 to 507 of the family's 1533-position model. The record is from RNAcentral.
AACGAACGCUGGCGGCAGGCUUAACACAUGCAAGUCGAACGCCCCGCAAGGGGAGUGGCAGACGGGUGAGUAACGCGUGGGAACGUACCUUUCAGUUCGGAAUAACUCAGGGAAACUUGUGCUAAUACCGGAUACGCCCGCAAGGGGAAAGAUUUAUCGCUGAAAGAUCGGCCCGCGUUGGAUUAGCUAGUUGGUGGGGUAAAGGCCUACCAAGGCGACGAUCCAUAGCUGGUCUGAGAGGAUGAUCAGCCACACUGGGACUGAGACACGGCCCAGACUCCUACGGGAGGCAGCAGUGGGGAAUAUUGGACAAUGGGCGCAAGCCUGAUCCAGCCAUGCCGCGUGAGUGAUGAAGGCCUUCGGGUUGUAAACUGCUUUUGUACGGAACGAAAGGGCUCUGGUUAAUACCUGGGGCAUAUGACGGUACCGUAAGAAUAAGCACCGGCUAACUACGUG